This 626-nucleotide ribosomal RNA is filed under the name Lactiplantibacillus pentosus. RNAcentral describes it as "bacterial SSU rRNA". It matches the Rfam family "Bacterial small subunit ribosomal RNA", at positions 67 to 664 of the family's 1533-position model. Lineage: Bacteria; Bacillati; Bacillota; Bacilli; Lactobacillales; Lactobacillaceae. The record is from RNAcentral.
CUGGUAUUGAUUGGUGCUUGCAUCAUGAUUUACAUUUGAGUGAGUGGCGAACUGGUGAGUAACACGUGGGAAACCUGCCCAGAAGCGGGGGAUAACACCUGGAAACAGAUGCUAAUACCGCAUAACAACUUGGACCGCAUGGUCCGAGUUUGAAAGAUGGCUUCGGCUAUCACUUUUGGAUGGUCCCGCGGCGUAUUAGCUAGAUGGUGGGGUAACGGCUCACCAUGGCAAUGAUACGUAGCCGACCUGAGAGGGUAAUCGGCCACAUUGGGACUGAGACACGGCCCAAACUCCUACGGGAGGCAGCAGUAGGGAAUCUUCCACAAUGGACGAAAGUCUGAUGGAGCAACGCCGCGUGAGUGAAGAAGGGUUUCGGCUCGUAAAACUCUGUUGUUAAAGAAGAACAUAUCUGAGAGUAACUGUUCAGGUAUUGACGGUAUUUAACCAGAAAGCCACGGCUAACUACGUGCCAGCAGCCGCGGUAAUACGUAGGUGGCAAGCGUUGUCCGGAUUUAUUGGGCGUAAAGCGAGCGCAGGCGGUUUUUUAAGUCUGAUGUGAAAGCCUUCGGCUCAACCGAAGAAGUGCAUCGGAAACUGGGAAACUUGAGUGCAGAAGAGGACAGUGG